UAUGUGAUCGUCUCUUGCAUAUCAAUAAGCGGAGGAAAAGAAACUAACAAGGAUUCCCCUAGUAACGGCGAGUGAAGCGGGAAGAGCUCAAAUUUGAAAUCUUAAAGGGUUUCCCUUUACGAAUUGUAGUUUAAAGAAGUGUUUUCUGUUGAGGUUUUGGUAAAAGUUCUUUGGAAUAGGACAUCAUAGAGGGUGAGAAUCCCGUAUUUGACCUUUACUUUCAACUUUGUGAUACACUUUCAAAGAGUCGGAUUGUUUGGGAAUGCAGUCCAAAAUGGGUGGUAAAUUUCAUCUAAAGCUAAAUAUUGGCGAGAGACCGAUAGCGAACAAGUACCGUGAGGGAAAGAUGAAAAGAACUUUGAAAAGAGAGUUAAACAGUACGUGAAAUUGUCAAAAGGGAAGCGUUUGACACCAGUGUUGUUUUUCUGAAGAUCAAUUAAAGAACUGUUUAUGCUAAGCUGUUUAGACUUUAUCAGCUAUCUGUUUAGUUUUGAGCUUUUCUUUAAUGCACUUUUCAGUUAACAAGUCAACAUCAAUUUCUUUUGCUGUAAAAAAGCUUGAGGAAGGUGGCUUGAGAUUCGUCUUAAGUGUUUAUAGCCUCUUGCCUAUGCAGUCGGAGAGAUUGAGGUCUGCAGCGUAGAUCCUUCGGGGCUAAAUGCAUUUGUGCUAAGUUAUAAGCAUUUUAUAGACAACUUGUUGACUAUGAUUUGUCUUGUAGCUUACUCGCUUAUGUUAUUUUACCUACGCUUAGGAUGUUGACACACGCGCGUGCUCG
This 775-nucleotide ribosomal RNA is filed under the name uncultured Neocallimastigales. RNAcentral's name for it is "partial large subunit ribosomal RNA". It matches the Rfam family "Eukaryotic large subunit ribosomal RNA", at positions 23 to 643 of the family's 3401-position model. Lineage: Eukaryota; Fungi; Neocallimastigomycota; Neocallimastigomycetes; Neocallimastigales. The record is from RNAcentral.